This 492-nucleotide ribosomal RNA is filed under the name uncultured bacterium. RNAcentral describes it as "partial 16S ribosomal RNA". It matches the Rfam family "Bacterial small subunit ribosomal RNA", at positions 29 to 507 of the family's 1533-position model. The record is from RNAcentral.
AGUGAACGCUGGCGGUAGGCCUAACACAUGCAAGUCGAACGGCAGCACAGUAAGAGCUUGCUCUUACGGGUGGCGAGUGGCGGACGGGUGAGGAAUACAUCGGAAUCUACUUUUUCGUGGGGGAUAACGUAGGGAAACUUACGCUAAUACCGCAUACGACCUACGGGUGAAAGCAGGGGAUCUUCGGACCUUGCGCGAUUGAAUGAGCCGAUGUCGGAUUAGCUAGUUGGAGGGGUAAAGGCCCACCAAGGCGACGAUCCGUAGCUGGUCUGAGAGGAUGAUCAGCCACACUGGAACUGAGACACGGUCCAGACUCCUACGGGAGGCAGCAGUGGGGAAUAUUGGACAAUGGGCGCAAGCCUGAUCCAGCCAUACCGCGUGGGUGAAGAAGGCCUUCGGGUUGGAAAGCCCUUUUGUUGGGAAAGAAAAGCAGCAGGUUAAUACCCCGCUGUUCUGACGGUACCCAAAGAAUAAGCACCGGCUAACUUCGUG